GGGUUGUUAAGAUUCGGGAUGGAUGGGUGGUGGCAGAGCUGUUGGACCCUACUGCACUACUCUAACUAUUGGCUUAUAGACUCUUCUGUCCAGCAUCAGCUGACCUGAUAGUCGUUGGUGGGUACAUGAAUGUCAUGACAGAUCACAGGUCCCAGGAUUAGGCCUUCUGAGAAGCUGCAACGUACCUUGUAGGUCCAGCUGAGAAAGUGAAGAAGAAACCUGUCAGGAUGCCAUCACAAGCACCGUAUAUCAGAAACACACUGGACAGAAAACCCAGCUCAAACACUAACUUUGUUUUUGCAAAGCAGGAAACGUUGCUUAAAAUCAUAUAGUAAAUAUUUCUUUGUGUAUCAUGGGGAGCUUUCAUGUAAGCUCAGAUUAACUGGAAAUCAGGACAAGGCCUGAACUUUGCUCCCUCAUCGCUAUGAAAGCAAUCGUCUGGGGUAUUUUUCAAGGAAGCCCCUCAGCUCUUGAGCUAGGCAGAAAUGCAUUGCAAUUGACCUCAAUACCGCGUU
Long non-coding RNA from Haliaeetus leucocephalus (bald eagle), 515 nucleotides. RefSeq lists it as uncharacterized. NCBI's taxonomy places the organism in Eukaryota, Metazoa, Chordata, Aves, Accipitriformes, Accipitridae. The record is from RefSeq and is a predicted model, not a curated record. The transcript is spliced from 3 exons.